CCUACGGGUGGCAGCAGUGGGGAAUAUUGCACAAUGGGCGAAAGCCUGAUGCAGCAACGCCGCGUGAAGGAAGAAGGCUUUCGGUGUGUAAAGCUCUAUCAGCAGGGACGAAAAUAACGAUACUUGCGGAAUAAGCACCGGCUGCUUACGUGCCGGCAGCCGCGGCAAUACGACGGAGGCGGGCGUUAUCCGGAGUUACUGGGUGUAAAGGGGGGGUAGUCGGCGGUGUAAGUCAGGAGUGAAAGGAGGGUGCUCAACCCCCGGAGUGCUUUUGAUACUGUACGGAUGGAGUGCAGGAGAGGUAAGCGGAAUGUGUAGUGUAGCGGUGAAAUGCGUAGAUAUUAGGAAGAACACCAGUGGCGAAGGCGGCUUACUGGGCUGGAACUGACGCUGAGGCACGAAAGCGUGGGGAGCGAACAGGAUUAGAUACCCGAGUAGUC
RNAcentral lists this ribosomal RNA (440 nucleotides) under uncultured bacterium. RNAcentral's name for it is "partial 16S ribosomal RNA". It matches the Rfam family "Bacterial small subunit ribosomal RNA", at positions 338 to 795 of the family's 1533-position model. The record is from RNAcentral.